UCCCUCAUAGCUCAGUUGGUAAAGAAUCUGCCUGCAAUGCAGGAGACCCAGGUUCGAUUCCUGAGUCAGGAA
Non-coding RNA from Ovis aries (sheep), 72 nucleotides. The record is from Rfam. Lineage: Eukaryota; Metazoa; Chordata; Mammalia; Artiodactyla; Bovidae.